AUUGAACGCUGGCGGUAUGCUUAACACAUGCAAGUCGAACGGUAACAGGCCUUCGGGCGCUGACGAGUGACGGACGGGUGAGUAACGCGUAGGAAUCUGCCUCAUAGUGGGGGACAACGUGGGGAAACUCACGCUAAUACCGCAUACGCCCUACGGGGGAAAGCGGGGGAUCUUCGGACCUCGCGCUAUGAGAUGAGCCUGCGUUAGAUUAGCUAGUUGGUAGGGUAAAGGCCUACCAAGGCGACGAUCUAUAGCUGGUCUGAGAGGACGAUCAGCCACACUGGGACUGAGACACGGCCCAGACUCCUACGGGAGGCAGCAGUGGGGAAUAUUGGACAAUGGGCGCAAGCCUGAUCCAGCAAUACCGCGUGUGUGAAGAAGGCCCUAGGGUUGGUAAAGCACUUUCAAUUGGGAGGAAAACCGUAGCCGGUCAAUACCCGGCAGCUUGACAUACCUUUAG
Molecule: ribosomal RNA, 460 nt
Filed under: uncultured bacterium
Lineage: Bacteria
Description: bacterial SSU rRNA
Rfam family: Bacterial small subunit ribosomal RNA
Source: RNAcentral